UUUGAGAGAUAGAGCAUGGAGUAGUUGGUUCAGAAGAAAUUGAAGGGUUUUGGUGGUUUGGAGAAGAGAGAAUUAGAGAAAUGCAGGGAAGGGGAGGGAUUUUUCAUCGAGCUGGGCAUGGGCAGCAUUGAUUUUAGUGCAAAGAGAGGGAGUGAGGGAGUUAGUAGCAAAGGAGGGAGAUGAGUUUGAAGGACUGAGGGCAGCGACAUUUUGGAAGAAGCAUAUUAAG
RNAcentral lists this unclassified non-coding RNA (229 nucleotides) under Hevea brasiliensis (rubber tree). Lineage: Eukaryota; Viridiplantae; Streptophyta; Magnoliopsida; Malpighiales; Euphorbiaceae. The record is from RNAcentral.